Long non-coding RNA from Clupea harengus (Atlantic herring), 521 nucleotides. RefSeq lists it as uncharacterized. The record is from RefSeq and is a predicted model, not a curated record. NCBI's taxonomy places the organism in Eukaryota, Metazoa, Chordata, Actinopteri, Clupeiformes, Clupeidae.
AUGUGGCCUUAUCAACGUGAAUGACCACAUCUACUCACAGUGCAAGUGUUUUGUCUGUGUGUGUAUAAAUGCAUUGGCUAAAUGCGAAUUGAAACGGUCAGAUGAGCCCAUUGAACAGUCCUGGUUGGAAACUCAGUAAGAGCAGAAAACCUCUGUUGAAGCACUGCAAAGGAGAGAGAGCAGUCUUUCCUCCUGUGUUCUCCUGCACUACAGACCUCGAGAGGGCCGCACAUUCCACAAACGAUCUGAACGGUGCACCGAUGUUACUGGUCCAAAAAGCCACCGGCUCCUAGCAGAGAUAGAAAAACACACAAGGGCUGUAGAAGUUUGGAAACCUCAUUGUGGAUUCCGUUUGGCAGCAUUUCUGGGGAGACAUGCCAUGCGAUGACUCCAAACCAGAAGAACGAUUGCGUCAUACCUUUGUUCACGCCACCCAGUCUAGACAUGAGAGACUCACCCCUUUGAGGCCCUUCAUGGCCGACAUGUCAACGAAGGAGACGGCAGCGAAGUCCAGGACGAGG